AUUUUAUCCUUGACUGCUGCUUUUCUUUGUUGAGGCAGCCUCUUCAGUGUUGGCACCAGGCUCAUGGCAAAGAGGGUCUCUUCAUCCUCCUUCCUGCGAGCAUCAGGUUGGGCUGCAUCCCUCUCGACGGCUUGGAGGAGCCUCUGCUGAAAUGAAUGGUCGCAUGCGGUUGGACACAUGGAGGAGAGAAUCAUUUUCGCAGUGUCCUCAAAACCGUGUCUUUUUGACACUACUGCUGACAGCUACAGGGACAUAAACACGAAAAAUGCUGCUUGGAGACAAGUGUCCACGAUAGUAGGAUUGCCAGAAGAAAACUGUUGGAGGAAGUGGAGAGGACUCAGGGACAGGUAUCAGAGGAAGAGACGGGCAGAGAAAGAGAAUAGGUCUGGGUCAGCAGCUUCAGGCCAGCAGCCUUGGGGCUUCUGCCACAUUCUUUCUUUUCUGGAUCCAUUUAUUGUGCCUAGGGCAACGAGUGGCAAUUUUACCGCCAGACCCUCUACUACGUCAUCCACAAGUGUUGUCGCCACCGGUGCAUCAAGGCCCUCAACAUCAUCUACAAGUGCGACCAUCGCCUCCACCGGUGCAGCGAGACCCUCUACAACAUCUACAUCACCCCCAAAGCCAAUUCCUCCUUUGGCCGUCUCUCCUUCCAGUUCUCUGCUGCCAAUGACUGGAACGAACUACAAAAAUCUCUGAAACUGGAAACACUUAUCUCCCUCACUAGCUUUAAGCACCAGCUGUCAGAGCAGCUCACAGAUCACUGCACCUGUACAUAGCCCAUCUAUAAUUUAGCCCAAACAACUACCUCUUCCCCUACUGUAUUUAUUUAUUUGAUUUAUUUUGCUCCUUUGCACCCCAUUAUUUAUUUCUACUUUGCACUUUCCUCUACUACAAAUCUACCAUUCCAGUGUUUUACUUGCCAUAUUGUAUUUACUUUGCCACCAUGGCCUUUUUUACCUUUACCUCCCUUAUCUCACCUCAUUUGCUCACAUUGUAUAUAGACUUAUUUUUCUACUGUAUUAUUGACUGUAUGUUUGUUUUACUCCAUGUGUAACUCUGUGUUGUUGUAUGUUGUCGAACUGCUUUGCUUUAUCUUGGCCAGGUCGCAAUUGUAAAUGAGAACUUGUUCUCAACUUGCCUACCUGGUUAAAUAAAGGUUAAAUAAAGUAAAAUAAGGCACUAAAGUAAAAUGUAAAAAAUUUGGCAAAGAAAUUCACUUUAUGUUCUGAAUACAAAGCAUUAUGUUUGGGGCUAACGUAACACAUCACUGAGUAC
Molecule: long non-coding RNA, 1275 nt
Filed under: Salmo salar (Atlantic salmon)
Lineage: Eukaryota; Metazoa; Chordata; Actinopteri; Salmoniformes; Salmonidae
Description: lncRNA (ENSSSAG00000086401.1)
Source: RNAcentral